UGGAACUUGGGGUUCUCUUGUCUCAACUUCCUGAGUAGCUGGGAUUACAGGCAUGUACCACCACCCCUGAAAUUUUUAAUUAAGACAGUGAGAAUCUAGAAUUCAGGCUGAAACUUGGAUGGUAAUGUAUGAUUAUGAAAUCAUGGUGAAUAUAAUUAAAGCUGGGAAAUGAGAAGAGAUUAGUCAUUGCUAGUAUAAAGAGAUGGUAUCCAAGGAUGAAGCCCUGGGACAUUCAGAAGGGGAACAAUCAGCAACAAAACUUGAGAUUAGCCAAAAAAUGGAGGAAACCAAAGCAUCUUUUUUUUCCCCUUGGUACUGGGGAUCAAACUCAGGACCUUGCACUUGUGAGGCAGGCGGUGCCACUGAUCUGCAUCCCCAGCCCUAAGGCAUCUUGAAAACCGGGUGAGAAAAAUGUAUUCAGGUAGGAAGGGGAGAUGAAACAUGUCAAAGUGGGCUGGGGAUUUAGCUCAGUGGUUCCGGUGCCUGCCUCACAAGCACAAGGUCCCAAGUUCGAUCCCCAGUACCAAAAGAAAAAGUAAAUAAAUAAAAAAAAAAGAAACAUGUCAAAGCCCUACUACAUUGGCUCAGAUGAGGACUGAUAAUUGAUGAUUGGAUUUAGCCAUGUGGAGGGCAGAGGUGAUCCUGGCAAGAUUAACUUCAGUGGAGUAUUUGGGUUACCAGCCUUACUGGAGUGGGCCUAAGAGAAUGAAAGGACUUGGGAAUGAGUAUGGAGUACUUUUUUUGGAAGAUAUUUGCUGUGAAGAAGAUUAGAGAAUUAAGGUUGGAGCUGGCGGAAUUUAAUGAAAGCUUCUUAUUGUUUUGUUUUUUUAAAGACGAGAACGCUAUAGAAGUAUCACACCAUCUCAAAAUUUGUUAUAAUUUCUUUCAGGUGAUUAGUGGGUCCCCAAAGCCCUCUGUGAAUCUGCAGUUUACAAGCUCCUGCCCUGUAACUUACUGGCGGCGAAACUACUGAGCUAAAUCCCCAGCCCUCCUUUUCUUCCAG
RNAcentral lists this long non-coding RNA (1003 nucleotides) under Heterocephalus glaber (naked mole-rat). RNAcentral describes it as "lncRNA (ENSHGLG00000036338.1)". The record is from RNAcentral. Lineage: Eukaryota; Metazoa; Chordata; Mammalia; Rodentia; Bathyergidae.